UUCAACUUGGCAGAAUAUAUGCAAUAAAUUUAGAAUUUAAUUAUGAAAAUUUUUCAGUUGAAA
This 63-nucleotide transfer RNA is filed under the name Dermacentor sp. RNAcentral's name for it is "tRNA-Leu". Lineage: Eukaryota; Metazoa; Arthropoda; Arachnida; Ixodida; Ixodidae. The record is from RNAcentral.